AGUGAACGCUGGCGGUAGGCCUAACACAUGCAAGUCGAACGGCAGCACAGUAAGAGCUUGCUCUUACGGGUGGCGAGUGGCGGACGGGUGAGGAAUACAUCGGAAUCUACUUUUUCGUGGGGGAUAACGUAGGGAAACUUACGCUAAUACCGCAUACGACCUACGGGUGAAAGCAGGGGAUCUUCGGACCUUGCGCGAUUGAAUGAGCCGAUGUCGGAUUAGCUAGUUGGCGGGGUAAAGGCCCACCAAGGCGACGAUCCGUAGCUGGUCUGAGAGGAUGAUCAGCCACACUGGAACUGAGACACGGUCCAGACUCCUACGGGAGGCAGCAGUGUGGAAUAUUGGACAAUGGGCGCAAGCCUGAUCCAGCCAUACCGAGUGGGUGAAGAAGGCCUUCGGGUUGUAAAGCCCUUUUGUGGGGAAAGAAAAGCAGCAGGUUAAUACCCCGCUGUUCUGACGGUACCCAAAGAAUAAGCACCGGCUAACUUCGUG
RNAcentral lists this ribosomal RNA (492 nucleotides) under uncultured bacterium. Its description in RNAcentral is "partial 16S ribosomal RNA". It matches the Rfam family "Bacterial small subunit ribosomal RNA", at positions 29 to 507 of the family's 1533-position model. The record is from RNAcentral.